RNAcentral lists this ribosomal RNA (1515 nucleotides) under Microbacterium sp. HLSB285. RNAcentral's name for it is "bacterial SSU rRNA". It matches the Rfam family "Bacterial small subunit ribosomal RNA". The record is from RNAcentral. Lineage: Bacteria; Bacillati; Actinomycetota; Actinomycetes; Micrococcales; Microbacteriaceae.
AGAGUUUGAUCCUGGCUCAGGAUGAACGCUGGCGGCGUGCUUAACACAUGCAAGUCGAACGAUGAAGCCCAGCUUGCUGGGUGGAUUAGUGGCGAACGGGUGAGUAACACGUGAGCAACCUGCCCCUGACUCUGGGAUAAGCGCUGGAAACGGCGUCUAAUACUGGAUACGAACAAGAAUCGCAUGGUUACUUGUUGGAAAGAUUUUUUGGUUGGGGAUGGGCUCGCGGCCUAUCAGCUUGUUGGUGAGGUAAUGGCUCACCAAGGCGUCGACGGGUAGCCGGCCUGAGAGGGUGACCGGCCACACUGGGACUGAGACACGGCCCAGACUCCUACGGGAGGCAGCAGUGGGGAAUAUUGCACAAUGGGCGGAAGCCUGAUGCAGCAACGCCGCGUGAGGGAUGACGGCCUUCGGGUUGUAAACCUCUUUUAGCAGGGAAGAAGCGAGAGUGACGGUACCUGCAGAAAAAGCGCCGGCUAACUACGUGCCAGCAGCCGCGGUAAUACGUAGGGCGCAAGCGUUAUCCGGAAUUAUUGGGCGUAAAGAGCUCGUAGGCGGUUUGUCGCGUCUGCUGUGAAAUCCCGAGGCUCAACCUCGGGCCUGCAGUGGGUACGGGCAGACUAGAGUGCGGUAGGGGAGAUUGGAAUUCCUGGUGUAGCGGUGGAAUGCGCAGAUAUCAGGAGGAACACCGAUGGCGAACGCAGAUCUCUGGGCCGUAACUGACGCUGAGGAGCGAAAGGGUGGGGAGCAAACAGGCUUAGAUACCCUGGUAGUCCACCCCGUAAACGUUGGGAACUAGUUGUGGGGUCCAUUCCACGGAUUCCGUGACGCAGCUAACGCAUUAAGUUCCCCGCCUGGGGAGUACGGCCGCAAGGCUAAAACUCAAAGGAAUUGACGGGGACCCGCACAAGCGGCGGAGCAUGCGGAUUAAUUCGAUGCAGCGCGAAGAACCUUACCAAGGCUUGACAUAUACGAGAACGGGCCAGAAAUGGUCAACUCUUUGGACACUCGUAGACAGGUGGUGCAUGGUUGUCGUCAGCUCGUGUCGUGAGAUGUUGGGUUAAGUCCCGCAACGAGCGCAACCCUCGUUCUAUGUUGCCAGCACGUAAUGGUGGGAACUCAUGGGAUACUGCCGGGGUCAACUUGGAGGAAGGUGGGGAUGACGUCAAAUCAUCAUGCCCCUUAUGUCUUGGGCUUCACGCAUGCUACAAUGGCCGGUACAAUGGGCAGCGAUACCGUGAGGUGGAGCGAAUCCCAAAAAGCCGGUCCCAGUUCGGAUUGAGGUCUGCAACUCGACCUCAUGAAGUCGGAGUCGCUAGUAAUCGCAGAUCAGCAACGCUGCGGUGAAUACGUUCCCGGGUCUUGUACACACCGCCCGUCAAGUCAUGAAAGUCGGUAACACCUGAAGCCGGUGGCCUAACCCUUGUGGAGGGAGCUGUCGAAGGUGGGAUCGGUAAUUAGGACUAAGUCGUAACAAGGUAGCCGUACCGGAAGGUGCGGAUGGAUCACCUCCUU